CGUGAUUUUUGUCUCCAUUGCUGUUGUCUCUAUCUCAAAUUUCUUUUUUGGUGUCUGAGUUAGGGUUCUUAAAAUUUUUAUUUGCAUUAUAUUUGCGUCUUAUAAUAAUUGAAUAUAGGAUGAAUCUUUGUAUAGCAAAUUACUAUAAGAAGCGGAUUACUAUCAGAUGCAAAUAAAAAGUUCAGGAACCUUAUCUCAGACACCAAAAAUCAAAUCAAGAUAGAGACGACAACAAUGGAAACAAAAAUCAC
RNAcentral lists this microRNA precursor (251 nucleotides) under Glycine max (soybean). Its description in RNAcentral is "miR5675 stem-loop (gma-MIR5675)". The record is from miRBase by way of RNAcentral. Lineage: Eukaryota; Viridiplantae; Streptophyta; Magnoliopsida; Fabales; Fabaceae.